AUGGAUCUCAGGGGGGAAUGUAUAUGUGAAAAAUCUGUUACCCUAAAAAAGAACUACAUUUCCUGGGAGCCCACUGACUUCCUGUCGUUAUGUACUUCCUAUAGACGGGAUAUAAGGCGGGGAUAUGGAGGAUCCUGUGCUCUUUUCAGUUUGCAGCAAGCAUGGAGGCAGUGGAGACCCUGGACAUGAAUGGAUAACCCGAGCUUUAACCAACUGUCCCCUGGAGAAGCCUAAGGAGCCAAGGAAUGGAAGAAAUGAAGCCUCUUCCACUGUCUUCUUUGAGGUCAAGCUCCCCCAGAUUUGACCCAGUCUGGGUCCAGAGUAGAAGGGACUCCUUAAUGGAGAGAGAAAGAGGGAGAGAGUCUUUGUACUGCAGACUCAACAGAUGUUUUAUUGUUAGACCGAAUGAAUGAAUGAAUGAAUGAAUGAAUGAAUGAAUGAAUGAAUACAUUAAUGGUGGUUAUACAAGUGGAUACACAAUCGAGGGAUGGAAACCAGAGCCCCUGGACUAGACCCCCUACAUAUUCUUUGGUAGAAUGGCUUUCCCAGGGAAGCAAAGGACCUGCAG
This 568-nucleotide long non-coding RNA is filed under the name Monodelphis domestica (gray short-tailed opossum). Its description in RNAcentral is "lncRNA (ENSMODG00000044719.1)". The record is from RNAcentral. Lineage: Eukaryota; Metazoa; Chordata; Mammalia; Didelphimorphia; Didelphidae.